AGAGUUUGAUCCUGGCUCAGGAUGAACGCUGGCGGCGUGCUUAACACAUGCAAGUCGAGCGAAGCACUCUGCUUUGAUUCUUUCGGGAUGAAGAGCAUUGUGACUGAGCGGCGGACGGGUGAGUAACGCGUGGGUAACCUGCCUCAUACAGGGGGAUAACAGUUAGAAAUGGCUGCUAAUACCGCAUAAGACCACAGCACCGCAUGGUGCAGGGGUAAAAACUCCGGUGGUAUGAGAUGGACUCGCGUCUGAUUAGCUAGUUGGUGGGGUAACGGCCUACCAAGGCGACGAUCAGUAGCCGACCUGAGAGGGUGACCGGCCACAUUGGGACUGAGACACGGCCCAAACUCCUACGGGAGGCAGCAGUGGGGAAUAUUGCACAAUGGGGGAAACCCUGAUGCAGCGACGCCGCGUGAAGGAAGAAGUAUCUCGGUAUGUAAACUUCUAUCAGCAGGGAAGAAAAUGACGGUACCUGACUAAGAAGCCCCGGCUAACUACGUGCCAGCAGCCGCGGUAAUACGUAGGGGGCAAGCGUUAUCCGGAUUUACUGGGUGUAAAGGGAGCGUAGACGGAUGGACAAGUCUGAUGUGAAAGGCUGGGGCUCAACCCCGGGACUGCAUUGGAAACUGCCCGUCUUGAGUGCCGGAGAGGUAAGCGGAAUUCCUAGUGUAGCGGUGAAAUGCGUAGAUAUUAGGAGGAACACCAGUGGCGAAGGCGGCUUACUGGACGGUAACUGACGUUGAGGCUCGAAAGCGUGGGGAGCAAACCAGGAUUAGAUACCCUGGUAGUCCACGCCGUAAACG
Molecule: ribosomal RNA, 803 nt
Filed under: uncultured bacterium
Lineage: Bacteria
Description: bacterial SSU rRNA
Rfam family: Bacterial small subunit ribosomal RNA
Source: RNAcentral